GAUGAACGCUGGCGGCGUGCCUAAUACAUGCAAGUCGAGCGAACGGACGAUAAGCUUGCUUCUCUGAUGUUAGCGGCGGACGGGUGAGUAACAUGUGGAUAACCAACCUAUAAGACUGGGAUAACUUCGGGAAACCGGUGCUACUACUGGAUAAUAUUUUCAACGGGAUGGUUCAAAAGUGCUUGAGGGUCUUGCCGACACUUAUAGAUGGAUCCGCGCUGCAUUAGCUAGUUGGUAAGGUAACGGCUUACCAAGGCAACGAUGCAUAGCCGACCUGAGAGGGUGAUCAGCCACACUGGAACUGAGACACGGUCCAGACUCCUACGGGAGGCAGCAGUAGGGAAUCUUCCGCAAUGGGCGAAAGCCUGACGGAGCAACGCCGCGUGAGUGAUGAAGGUCUUCGGAUCGUAAAACUCUGUUAUUAGGGAAGAAAAGAUGUAUAAGAAACUGUGCACAUCUUGACGGUACCUAAUCAGAAAGCCACGGCUAACUACGUG
RNAcentral lists this ribosomal RNA (497 nucleotides) under uncultured bacterium. RNAcentral's name for it is "partial 16S ribosomal RNA". It matches the Rfam family "Bacterial small subunit ribosomal RNA", at positions 28 to 507 of the family's 1533-position model. The record is from RNAcentral.